CAGGCCCUAUGGGGCGCAGCAGGNGAGAAAACUUUGCAAUGUGCGAAAGCACGACAAGNUUAGUCCGAGUGAUUUCUGCUAAAGAAAUCUUUUGCAAGUCAUAAAACCACUAGUGAAUAAGGGGUGGGCAAGUUCUGGUGUCAGCCGCCGCGGUAAAACCAGCACCUCAAGUGGUCAGGAGGAUUAUUGGGCCUAAAGCAUCCGUAGCCGGCUCUGUUAGUUUUCGGUUAAAUCCAUGCGCUCAACGUAUGGGCUGCCGAGAAUACUGCAUAGCUAGGGAGUGGGAGAGGUAGACGGUACUCGGUAGGAAGGGGUAAAAUCCUUUGAUCUAUCGAUGACCACCUGUGGCGAAGGCGGUCUACCAGAACACGUUCGACGGUGAGGGAUGAAAGCUGGGGGAGCAAACCGGAUUAGAUACCCGGGUAGUCCCAGCUGUAAACGAUGCAGACUCGAUGAUGCAUUGGCAUAUAGCCAGUGCAGUGUCGCAGGGAAGCCCGUUAAGUCUGCCGCCUGGGAAGUACGUACGCAAGUAUGAAACUUAAAGGAAUUGGCGGGGGAGCACCACAAGGGGUGAAGCCUGCGGUUCAAUUGGAGUCAACGCCAGAAAUCUUACCCGGAGAGACAGCAGAAUGAAGGUCAAGCUGAAGACUUUACCAGACAAGCUGAGAGGUGGUGCAUGGCCGUCGCCAGCUCGUGCCGUGAGAUGUCCUGUUAAGUCAGGUAACGAGCGAGAUCCCUGCCAUUAGUUGCUAUCAUUAUUCUCAGGAGUAGUGGAGCGAACUAGUGGGACUGCCGUUGUUAAAACGGAGGAAGGAAGGGGCUACGGCAGGUCAGUAUGCCCCGAAACUCUGGGGCCACACGCGGGCUGCAAUGGUAGUGACAAUGAGUUCCAAACUCGAAAGAGAGUGGCAAUCUCCAAACACUACCACAGUUAUGACUGAGGGCUGUAACUCGCCCUCACGAAUAUGGAAUCCCUAGUAACCGCGCGUCAUUACCACGCGGUGAAUACGUCCCUGCUCCUUGCACACACCGCCCGUCGUUUCAUCGAAGUUUGCUUUUAGCGAGNUGAUGUUUAAUUGG
This 1080-nucleotide ribosomal RNA is filed under the name uncultured marine group I thaumarchaeote. Its description in RNAcentral is "bacterial SSU rRNA". It matches the Rfam family "Archaeal small subunit ribosomal RNA", at positions 317 to 1396 of the family's 1478-position model. The record is from RNAcentral. Lineage: Archaea; Thermoproteati; Nitrososphaerota.